UACGUAGGUGGCAAGCGUUAUCCGGAAUUAUUGGGCGUAAAGCGCGCGUAGGCGGUUUCUUAAGUCUGAUGUGAAAGCCCACGGCUCAACCGUGGAGGGUCAUUGGAAACUGGGGGACUUGAGUGCAGAAGAGGAAAGUGGAAUUCCAUGUGUAGCGGUGAAAUGCGCAGAGAUAUGGAGGAACACCAGUGGCGAAGGCGACUCUCUGGGCUGUUACUGACGCUGAGGAGCGAAAGCAUGGGGAGCGAACAGG
Molecule: ribosomal RNA, 253 nt
Filed under: uncultured bacterium
Lineage: Bacteria
Description: partial 16S ribosomal RNA
Rfam family: Bacterial small subunit ribosomal RNA
Source: RNAcentral